CUUGGUCAUUUAGAGGAAGUAAAAGUCGUAACAAGGUCUCCGUAGGUGAACCUGCGGAGGGAUCAUUACACAAAUAUGAAGGCGGGCUGGAACCUCUCGGGGUUACAGCCUUGCUGAAUUAUUCACCCUUGUCUUUUGCGUACUUCUUGUUUCCUUGGUGGGUUCGCCCACCACUAGGACAAACAUAAACCUUUUGUAAUUGCAAUCAGCGUCAGUAACAAAUUAAUAAUUACAACUUUCAACAACGGAUCUCUUGGUUCUGGCAUCGAUGAAGAACGCAGCGAAAUGCGAUAAGUAGUGUGAAUUGCAGAAUUCAGUGAAUCAUCGAAUCUUUGAACGCACAUUGCGCCCUUUGGUAUUCCAAAGGGCAUGCCUGUUCGAGCGUCAUUUGUACCCUCAAGCUUUGCUUGGUGUUGGGCGUCUUGUCUCUAGCUUUGCUGGAGACUCGCCUUAAAGUAAUUGGCAGCCGGCCUACUGGUUUCGGAGCGCAGCACAAGUCGCACUCUCUAUCAGCAAAGGUCUAGCAUCCAUUAAGCCUUUUUUUCAACUUUUGACCUCGGAUCAGGUAGGGAUACCCGCUGAACUUAAGCAUAUCAAUAAGCGGAGGA
This 608-nucleotide ribosomal RNA is filed under the name Alternaria alternata. Its description in RNAcentral is "eukaryotic LSU rRNA". The stretch from base 234 to 387 matches the Rfam family "5.8S ribosomal RNA". Lineage: Eukaryota; Fungi; Ascomycota; Dothideomycetes; Pleosporales; Pleosporaceae. The record is from RNAcentral. RNAcentral also lists the same sequence under 11 other names.